Molecule: long non-coding RNA, 1685 nt
Filed under: Homo sapiens (human)
Lineage: Eukaryota; Metazoa; Chordata; Mammalia; Primates; Hominidae
Description: HSALNT0163734
Source: RNAcentral
GAAUAAACAAAGGUGCACGCUGCUAUUCUUCACAGAGAAUAAAGCAUGAGAAAGAUAUCAAGGGGGUAUUAUGGUCAACAUUUCAAUUGUGUGCUAGGCAAAGACUGGGCCUUAAAACUAUAUUUGAGUAAAGAAUGAAUAACUAGAAUAGAGAUUGGAUUCUGGAAGCCAACUUUAGAAUAAUAGGCCAAAGUUAAAACCAAGUUAAGAAACAAAUGAAAAAUAGGUCAGUGAAUUGUACAAGAAGGUAACACAGAUUCAGGAGUCAGCCCAUUACAAGGGUGAGAACAUCUUUUCAACUUGUCAUCUUUCUAGCUUUUUCUAAAUCUUACACUGAGGCACUGUAUUGUAAGGCAUUUUUUUUUUUUUUUUUUUUUUUUUUUGCCAUUGACUUAUGGCUGUAAACCUCUGGAGGGAAGUAAGAGGUGGCAAGGGAACAAAGCAGGGUAGUAUGAAAAUGUAAGCAUGAAAAAUGAAUGAAAGAUGAGAGAAGGGGUCACUUGGGCAUCAGCUGAGUAUGACAGGCUCAAGCUCAAAUGGAGCUCUGGCAGAAAGUUGACUGUAUCCCACAGGUUAUCAUUCCAGAUAGCGGCAGAGUUCUGGUGGUUUGCUAGUAGCCAGCUGAUCAAUGUAUUUAUGCCCUAAUUUAUGGCUUAUCAUUAGUCUGCCCCUCAGAGACAUUUAAUGGUUAUUUUUUGGUGCUAUUUAUUUAUCUACUUAUUUAUUUUCCUGCAGAAUCAUAACACAAAGCUUAUAUUAUCUCAAACAGCUGAAAAUGCAAUGUUUGAACCCCUAGUUUCCCUAGCCUUUCCAUCUCAUGCCAGAGUAGGGGCUGGUACACUACAAAAUCAGAACGGCCAGGGUUGAAAAAUGAAAAUUACUGUAAAAAUAUGCUACUGGUACCAAAAGAUUUGGAAUUCAGGCUUUGAUUCUGACGGAAAAAUGGUUAAUGUUUCUGAAAUGAUGUAACUUAAAAAGUCUCAACAGAUAUAGGUUAGAAAACUUGAUGUUAAAGACAGUGGAUCCUUAAGCUCUCCCAGAAUGCAGUGGGCAACCAGGGAGCCCAGGCUGUCAUGGGAUUCCUAGGGUGUCAAUUUGCCAGCCAGAAACCUCUGUGGCUGGUGGUGCCUCUGCUUAGGUUUUGCUUGUGCUCGCUGGGCUCAUUCCACCCACUCAGCCCAGCAGCCCCUGCUCGGCUUGUGCUACCAGCCGCAUCCCCUAACUGCCAUGGGCAAGCCAGGCAUGGAGCAGUGAGGGAUGUGUGAGCAAGUGAGUGCAGGGUCCAGCCACUGCACACAGCCAGCUCCAUGGAAGACUGAAGCUAGACCAGGCAUAUUAAAAGCAGCUUUGGCUGUGGGCACCAGCAUCUAGACAAGGGGAAUGCGAUGGUGCCCAAAAGCAGAGCCCCAAAGAGAGUCCCAGUUCUUUUCCUGCAUCUAGGAAGAACGAGAUACAUGGACAAUUUGAGGGUGAGGAAGGCAGAGGAGCUUCACUGAGUGACAAAACAGCUUUCAGGAGACCCAAAGUGGGUAGCUCCUUUCCAUAGGCAAGUUGUCCUGAUGGGGUUCCAGCUCACAGAGGAGAGGAGAAACAUGGCAAGUAGCUCCUUUCUGCAGGGAUGUUGUCCUGACGAGUGUGCAAGUCUGGCUGAGUCCAGGGUUUUCAUGAGCUCAGAAGAGAGGAAG